This 496-nucleotide ribosomal RNA is filed under the name uncultured bacterium. RNAcentral describes it as "partial 16S ribosomal RNA". It matches the Rfam family "Bacterial small subunit ribosomal RNA", at positions 28 to 506 of the family's 1533-position model. The record is from RNAcentral.
GAUGAACGCUGGCGGCGUGCCUAAUACAUGCAAGUCGAGCGAACAGACGAGGAGCUUGCUCCUCUGACGUUAGCGGCGGACGGGUGAGUAACACGUGGAUAACCUACCUAUAAGACUGGGAUAACUUCGGGAAACCGGAGCUAAUACCGGAUAAUAUAUUGAACCGCAUGGUUCAAUAGUGAAAGACGGUUUUGCUGUCACUUAUAGAUGGAUCCGCGCCGCAUUAGCUAGUUGGUAAGGUAACGGCUUACCAAGGCAACGAUGCGUAGCCGACCUGAGAGGGGGAUCGGCCACACUGGAACUGAGACACGGUCCAGACUCCUACGGGAGGCAGCAGUAGGGAAUCUUCCGCAAUGGGCGAAAGCCUGACGGAGCAACGCCGCGGGAGUGAUGAAGGUCUUCGGAUCGUAAAACUCUGUUAUUAGGGAAGAACAAAUGUGUAAGUAACAAUGCACGUCUGGACGGUACCUAAUCAGAAAGCCACGGCUAACUACGU